GUCCACGCUGUAAACGAUGGGCACUAGGUGUCCGGGGUAUUGACCCCUGGUGCCGCAGCUAACGCAUUAAGUGCCCCGCCUGGGGAGUACGGUCGCAAGAUUAAACUCAAAGGAAUUGACGGGGGCCCGCACAAGCGGUGGAGCAUGUGGUUCAAUUCGACGCAAACGCGAAGAACCUUACCUGGACUAGACAACGGUGGACCGUCCUAGAAAUAGGAUUUUCCCUUCGGGGACUGCCGGUUCAGGUGCUGCAUGGCUGUCGU
Molecule: ribosomal RNA, 263 nt
Filed under: uncultured bacterium
Lineage: Bacteria
Description: partial 16S ribosomal RNA
Rfam family: Bacterial small subunit ribosomal RNA
Source: RNAcentral